CUCUUUUCAGAGCCACCCACAAAUCUCUCUAAGAGCUGU
Merops nubicus (carmine bee-eater) is the source of this 39-nucleotide non-coding RNA. Lineage: Eukaryota; Metazoa; Chordata; Aves; Coraciiformes; Meropidae. The record is from Rfam.